Molecule: ribosomal RNA, 816 nt
Filed under: Microbacterium hydrocarbonoxydans
Lineage: Bacteria; Bacillati; Actinomycetota; Actinomycetes; Micrococcales; Microbacteriaceae
Description: bacterial SSU rRNA
Rfam family: Bacterial small subunit ribosomal RNA
Source: RNAcentral
CAGUGGCGAACGGGUGAGUAACACGUGAGCAACCUGCCCCUGACUCUGGGAUAAGCGCUGGAAACGGCGUCUAAUACUGGAUACGAACCACGAAGGCAUCUUCAGUGGUUGGAAAGAAUUUCGGUUGGGGAUGGGCUCGCGGCCUAUCAGCUUGUUGGUGAGGUAAUGGCUCACCAAGGCGUCGACGGGUAGCCGGCCUGAGAGGGUGACCGGCCACACUGGGACUGAGACACGGCCCAGACUCCUACGGGAGGCAGCAGUGGGGAAUAUUGCACAAUGGGCGAAAGCCUGAUGCAGCAACGCCGCGUGAGGGAUGACGGCCUUCGGGUUGUAAACCUCUUUUAGCAGGGAAGAAGCGAAAGUGACGGUACCUGCAGAAAAAGCGCCGGCUAACUACGUGCCAGCAGCCGCGGUAAUACGUAGGGCGCAAGCGUUAUCCGGAAUUAUUGGGCGUAAAGAGCUCGUAGGCGGUUUGUCGCGUCUGCUGUGAAAUCCGGAGGCUCAACCUCCGGCCUGCAGUGGGUACGGGCAGACUAGAGUGCGGUAGGGGAGAUUGGAAUUCCUGGUGUAGCGGUGGAAUGCGCAGAUAUCAGGAGGAACACCGAUGGCGAAGGCAGAUCUCUGGGCCGUAACUGACGCUGAGGAGCGAAAGGGUGGGGAGCAAACAGGCUUAGAUACCCUGGUAGUCCACCCCGUAAACGUUGGGAACUAGUUGUGGGGUCCAUUCCACGGAUUCCGUGACGCAACUAACGCAUUAAGUUCCCCGCCUGGAGAGUACGGCCGCAAGGCUAAAACUCAAAGGAAUUGACGGGGACC